Molecule: ribosomal RNA, 119 nt
Filed under: Ceratophyllidae sp. SB-2016
Lineage: Eukaryota; Metazoa; Arthropoda; Insecta; Siphonaptera; Ceratophyllidae
Also listed under: 1 other name
Description: partial 28S ribosomal RNA
Source: RNAcentral
ACAGCCGUUGCACACGAGUCAGUCGAUCCUAAGCCCCAGGUGAAAACCUAUGUUGAUGUUGGUGUAAUUUUAUUUUAUUAAUGAAAUCUCACACCCAUCGGGCGAAAGGGAAUCCGGUU